Drosophila nasuta is the source of this 552-nucleotide long non-coding RNA. RefSeq lists it as uncharacterized. Lineage: Eukaryota; Metazoa; Arthropoda; Insecta; Diptera; Drosophilidae. The record is from RefSeq and is a predicted model, not a curated record. The transcript has 4 exons.
AAAAUUUUCAAUACACACAAUUGAACAAUUCAACAUCAUUGCAAAAUGAUGCCAGAUUUGACAAAAUUACUGAUAUAUUACUUAAAAUACAAAAAGAAAACCGAAUUUUAAAGGCUGAAGUUGUGGAGCUAAAGCUUUCUAUUACCAAAUUGGCAGAGGAAGUGAUUACCGUAAAAUUAGAAAAUAGAAAACUUCACAGCACCAGAGGGCAACACACGAAUGAUUUGCCAGACUUCAGAAGCCUUCCAUUCACCAACAUCAAUGAAAUUACCAACUUUGAUAACGACGUACAGCAGGAUAAUGAAAAUUACAACAAUUUAAACAAUUUAUAGGGAAAACUGGUGGAGAAGGACCAACUCAAUUUUUGAGGGCAGCAAUUCGAAACGUAUUUUCUGACGAAUUGGCUACCUUAUAUAGUUGGAAAGGAACCAGCACAAAGCCAAGCGCUGAAAAGUGCUUCCUUAUAGCAAUAAUUAAAAAUAUUUACCACCUAAAAUACAAUUGUACAGAUGAGGACAUGAACAUGGUUUUUCGUACAUGUCAAAGACCGUG